GACGUAGGGCGCAAGCGUUGUCCGGAUUUACUGGGCGUAAAGGAUGCGUAGGCGGACAUUUAAGUCAGAUGUGAAAUACCCGAGCUUAACUUGGGUGCUGCAUUUGAAACUGGGUGUCUAGAGUGCAGGAGAGGUAAGUGGAAUUCCUAGUGUAGCGGUGAAAUGCGUAGAGAUUAGGAAGAACACCAGUGGCGAAGGCGACUUACUGGACUGUAACUGACGCUGAGGCAUGAAAGCGUGGGGAGCAAACAGG
RNAcentral lists this ribosomal RNA (253 nucleotides) under uncultured bacterium. RNAcentral describes it as "partial 16S ribosomal RNA". It matches the Rfam family "Bacterial small subunit ribosomal RNA", at positions 524 to 776 of the family's 1533-position model. The record is from RNAcentral.